RNAcentral lists this long non-coding RNA (346 nucleotides) under Elaeis guineensis (African oil palm). RNAcentral describes it as "long non-coding RNA (EGUI_LNC029721)". The record is from RNAcentral. Lineage: Eukaryota; Viridiplantae; Streptophyta; Magnoliopsida; Arecales; Arecaceae.
AAAGCGCUACAAGGGUCGAACUCAAUAAUAACUAGAGCUCGGCUUCAGAAUCGAUCCUCCAUUCUCUAAGAGGAUCGUAGAUGAGCCACUUCCUUCAUAGUUUAAGAUGCCAUAAUUAGAACCAUACAACAGAACUUCAGAUCUUGUCGACUACUUGGAGAGCUUUAAAGCUCUGAUGCUCCUUCAUGGGGCAACUGAUGGAAUUUUUUAUUGGAUAAGUCCAUCCACCUUAAGGAAGGCUGCCCGAUAUUAGUACUCGAGCCUUUAGUCCGACUUGAUUAGUUCUUCUGAAUAGCUCGAUCAAAUAUUAGCAACCCAUUUCAUCAAUAGCCAUCAAUAGUGCCAC